This 484-nucleotide ribosomal RNA is filed under the name uncultured bacterium. RNAcentral's name for it is "partial 16S ribosomal RNA". It matches the Rfam family "Bacterial small subunit ribosomal RNA", at positions 30 to 507 of the family's 1533-position model. The record is from RNAcentral.
AUUGAACGCUGGCGGCAGGCCUAACACAUGCAAGUCGAGCGGAUGAACGGAGCUUGCUCCUGGAUUCAGCGGCGGACGGGUGAGUAAUGCCUAGGAAUCUGCCUGGUCUUGGAGGAUAACGUCCGGUAACGGGCGCUAAUCCCGCAUACGUCCUUAUGGUGAAAGUGGGGGAUCUUCAGACCUCACGCUAUCUGCUGAGCCUAGGUCGGAUUAGCUAGUUGGUGGGGUAAAGGCCUACCAAGGCGACGAUCCGUAGCUGGUCUGAGAGGAUGAUCAGCCACACUGGAACUGAGACACGGUCCAGACUCCUACGGGAGGCAGCAGUGGGGAAUAUUGGGCAAUGGGCGAAAGCCUGAUCCAGCAAUGCCGCGUGUGUGAAGAAGGUCUUCGGAUUGUAAAGCACUGUUAGUAGGGAGGAAGAGAAGUAAGAUAAUACAUGGAUGUCUUGACGGUACCAACAGAAUAAGCACCGGCUAACUUCGUG